AAACAAGGUAGAGGCGCGGCUGCGAAAAGUACCUGUACACGGGAUUACCUGUCCGAUGGUGUACAGCGAAAGGCAAUGCCGCCGAAGGGCUGUUUCCGGUAAAUUCAGCUCUGGCUGCAUAUUCAAUAGGUAUGCAGUUGUCAUCAUGGUUUGAUGGAGAGCUAUCGGCAUA
This is a regulatory RNA element of Ruminococcus flavefaciens 007c, 172 nucleotides long. It matches the Rfam family "Lysine riboswitch aptamer". From Rfam's summary of the family: Riboswitches are metabolite binding domains within certain messenger RNAs that serve as precision sensors for their corresponding targets. Allosteric rearrangement of mRNA structure is mediated by ligand binding, and this results in modulation of gene expression. The record is from Rfam. Lineage: Bacteria; Bacillati; Bacillota; Clostridia; Eubacteriales; Oscillospiraceae.